This 337-nucleotide long non-coding RNA is filed under the name Homo sapiens (human). RNAcentral's name for it is "HSALNT0351118". Lineage: Eukaryota; Metazoa; Chordata; Mammalia; Primates; Hominidae. The record is from RNAcentral.
AACAGAUUCCCGUUUGGUCAACAGGACCCCAGGGACACCCUGGAAGCUGAGUUCCUGGCCAUGAUGGGAUCAGAGAGACUCCAGGAGUGCACCUAGCGGUCACAGAGAAGAAACCUUGUGAGAACACAGCUAGAAGGCGACUGUCUGUAAGCAGGAAGAAUGACCUCACCAGAAACCAGUUCUACCAAAAAACCUUGAUCUUGAAUGUCCAGGCUCCAGAACUGUGAGAAAAUUAACGUAUGCUCUUGAAGCUGCCCAACCUGUGGUAUUCUGUUAUGACUAUCCUAGAAGACUAAUACAAUUACUUAUCAACAUAGGCUGCCUUUCAGUAAUUAAG